Molecule: long non-coding RNA, 502 nt
Organism: Leucoraja erinaceus (little skate)
Lineage: Eukaryota; Metazoa; Chordata; Chondrichthyes; Rajiformes; Rajidae
Exons: 2
Source: RefSeq, a predicted model, not a curated record
GUGGUAGCGCCGCGAUCUGUUACACUCACGUUGCUACAAAGUGGUUACAGCAAGGGCUAGCACCAGCGGCCACUCGGCCCACCGGCUACCCCCAUCCACUGGUCAAGGGCGACCCCCUCCCGUCCCGACAAUAUCCUGCUUGUAACUCCAACAACUCAUCAUGCCUUUAAUCUGUGUCUUGCCCUUGUUCGUGUCACCAGAGGUUUCCAUUAUAUUGUCAAUGAUGAUACAUGUGCAUGGUUAGCUGUUCGUGCCAGAGAUACUAUCAACCUCUCGUGGACUUCAGAUCGAACAAAUAGAUUGGUGGACUGCCCCAAGGAUUAAUCUCUAACUUCAGCCAUUAUUGGAGCUGUGUACAAUUUCUCCAUGAACUAAAUGUAAAGAAGCUGCCAGCCCACCCGCCCCGUCAACUGAAGUCAGCAAACAUGCACGGUAUUCCUUAAAUUCUGCAACCUGUUUCUCUUCCAAGUAUCCUGACAAAUAAAGUAUUGUAGCAAUUUGA